RNAcentral lists this long non-coding RNA (828 nucleotides) under Lynx pardinus (Iberian lynx). The record is from RNAcentral. Lineage: Eukaryota; Metazoa; Chordata; Mammalia; Carnivora; Felidae.
CCUCCUCAUAAUCCUUUUCAAAGGCAGCCAUGUCCUCACGGGCCUCAGAAAACUGUCCUCCAUACUCUCACUCACAUAUCAGUGAACAAAGGCAUGCUUGUCAUACAUUAGGUCAAAUUUGUGGUUCAGGUGAGCUCAGGCCUCACCAGUGGCUGUGGUGUUACUCAGCAUGCACACAGCUCACUGUUCUUUGGUGGGUCUUCACCAUGUACUGCAGUGGGAGGAUGGUAAUUAAUGCCAGCUUUAAGGCACUGGGGCACAAGUCAACAAACUAGAUGGUAUGCUUGGUCUUGAUGGUGGCAGUAGCAGUAUUGACAUCUUUGGGAAUGGUACGAUAGGCAGCAAGCCUUGUAUUUACCAUGGCGAGGGUCACAUUUCAUCCUUUGGUUGGCUGGCUCAAAGCAUACGUUGGUGAUCUCUGCUACAGAAAGCUGUUCACGGUAGGCUUUCUCAGCAGAGAUGACGGGUGUAUGUGGCCAGAGGGAAUUGGAUACAGGGAUAGGGCACCAGAUUGGUUUGGAAUUCUGCCAGAUCAACAUUCAGGGCUCCAUCAAAUCUGAGGGAAGCAGUGAUGGAGGGCACAAUUUCACCUAUCACCCUAUUUAGGUUAGUGUAGGUUGUGGACUCAAUAUCAAGGUUUCUGUGACCUUCAUAGAUGCCCUCAUUGUCUAACAUGAAGGCACAAUUAGAGUGCUCCAGAGUGGUGUGGGUAGUGAGGAUGGAGUUGUAGGGCUCAACUACAAUUGUGGAAACCUGAGGUGCUGGGUAAAUGAAGAACUCCAACUUAGACUUUUUGCCUUAACUGACAGACUUUCCAGUGAACCUGGA